RNAcentral lists this ribosomal RNA (506 nucleotides) under uncultured bacterium. Its description in RNAcentral is "partial 16S ribosomal RNA". It matches the Rfam family "Bacterial small subunit ribosomal RNA", at positions 30 to 523 of the family's 1533-position model. The record is from RNAcentral.
AUUGAACGCUGGCGGCAGGCCUAACACAUGCAAGUCGGACGGUAGCACAGGGGAGCUUGCUCCCCGGGUGACGAGUGGCGGACGGGUGAGUAAUGUCUGGGAAACUGCCUGAUGGAGGGGGAUAACUACUGGAAACGGUAGCUAAUACCGCAUAACGUCGCAAGACCAAAGAGGGGGACCUUCGGGCCUCUUGCCAUCAGAUGUGCCCAGAUGGGAUUAGCUAGUAGGUAGGGUAACGGCUCACCUAGGCGACGAUCCCUAGCUGGUCUGAGAGGAUGACCAGCCACACUGGAACUGAGACACGGUCCAGACUCCUACGGGAGGCAGCAGUGGGGAAUAUUGCACAAUGGGCGCAAGCCUGAUGCAGCCAUGCCGCGUGUAUGAAGAAGGCCUUCGGGUUGUAAAGUACUUUCAGCGGGGAGGAAGGUGUUGUGGUUAAUAACCACAGCAAUUGACGUUACCCGCAGAAGAAGCACCGGCUAACUCCGUGCCAGCCGCCGCGGUAA